RNAcentral lists this ribosomal RNA (236 nucleotides) under uncultured bacterium. Its description in RNAcentral is "partial 16S ribosomal RNA". It matches the Rfam family "Bacterial small subunit ribosomal RNA", at positions 118 to 351 of the family's 1533-position model. The record is from RNAcentral.
UGAAGAAUUUGUCCAAACGGCGGGGGAUAGCCGGCCCAACGGCCGGGUAAUACCGCGUACGACCCUCGGGGGGCAUCCCCUGAAGGUGAAAGCCGCAAGGCGCCGAUGGAGAACUUCGCGGCCUAUCAGCUAGUUGGUGAGGUCAUGGCUCACCAAGGCGACGACGGGUAGCUGGUCCGAGAGGAUGACCAGCCACAUUGGGACUGAGACACGGCCCAGACUCCUACGGGAGGCAG